This 468-nucleotide ribosomal RNA is filed under the name uncultured bacterium. Its description in RNAcentral is "partial 16S ribosomal RNA". It matches the Rfam family "Bacterial small subunit ribosomal RNA", at positions 28 to 507 of the family's 1533-position model. The record is from RNAcentral.
GACGAACGCUGGCGGCGUGCUUAACACAUGCAAGUCGAACGGAAAGGCCCUGCUUUUGUGGGGUGCUCGAGUGGCGAACGGGUGAGUAACACGUGAGUAACCUGCCCUUGACUUUGGGAUAACUUCAGGAAACUGGGGCUAAUACCGGAUAGGAGCUCCUGCUGCAUGGUGGGGGUUGGAAAGUUUCGGCGGUUGGGGAUGGACUCGCGGCUUAUCAGCUUGUUGGUGGGGUAGUGGCUUACCAAGGCUUUGACGGGUAGACGGCCUGAGAGGGUGACCGGCCACAUUGGGACUGAGAUACGGCCCAGACUCCUACGGGAGGCAGCAGUGGGGAAUAUUGCGCAAUGGGCGGAAGCCUGAUGCAGCAACGCCGCGUGCGGGAUGACGGCCUUCGGGUUGUAAACCGCUUUCGCCUGUGACGAAGCGUGAGUGACGGUAAUGGGUAAAGAAGCACCGGCUAACUACGUG